UAGGUAAUAUCCGCAAGGAAUUGUACUGAACAUGCUGAAUGAAGAAGAAUGAAGUACACACCAAUUUUCAUGUUUCGCUUUAAGCCGCUUGGAUUACCAAUAGACUGAGACGGUGAG
Molecule: non-coding RNA, 117 nt
Organism: Syntrophobotulus glycolicus DSM 8271
Lineage: Bacteria; Bacillati; Bacillota; Clostridia; Eubacteriales; Desulfitobacteriaceae
Source: Rfam